This 446-nucleotide long non-coding RNA is filed under the name Brachypodium distachyon (stiff brome). RNAcentral's name for it is "long non-coding RNA (BDIS_LNC004545)". Lineage: Eukaryota; Viridiplantae; Streptophyta; Magnoliopsida; Poales; Poaceae. The record is from RNAcentral.
GGUUGUUGUCUUGAUUUGGGAUGCUCUCUGUUUUUUUUUUCCGUUCUUGCUAGGUAGGAGUAUGCGGCCGGAAGGAGCCGCCUUCUCCCUCUGCUUUUGGUCUGGUACUCUGGUCGGUUAUGUUCUUCUAGUUCUGUUCUUGGAGACUUGGAGAUCGCUACAUAUUCCACGAUAUAAAGACUACAGAUUGAAGAGACCUGAACUAUUAGGUCCCAUUGUCAUACUGUCUAUCUGUUUAUAAAUAGUCCACUUAGCAGCAUAACUGAAUGAACAUGCCUGGAGGUGAGUUAGUGUAUAAACAUGACUGGAUGUGAGUUAAUGUAUGCAUGCGUGUGAACGUGCCAAAAUUUUGCAAAAUUGCUCACUGUUCUUUUUGAUGUAUAUAUGUGUAUUUCUGUAAGAUGCUAUGACUUGGAAAUAGGUCAACCAAAUUCUUGUCACAUGUA